This 575-nucleotide long non-coding RNA is filed under the name Homo sapiens (human). RNAcentral's name for it is "non-protein coding PGM5P3-AS1:10". The record is from RNAcentral. Lineage: Eukaryota; Metazoa; Chordata; Mammalia; Primates; Hominidae.
GUUGUGAGCCUGCGAAAGAAGUUUGUGUGGGGACUGUGGGCAGUGAACGCGUUGGGAACAAUAUGGAAAACUGGGAGCCGCCUUGGAAUCUACAGGGCCGGGACCCACUCGAGCCAUCCACACUUGCCCCAGCCUCCUCCAAAACAGCACACUUUCCGGCUGAAGAAAAGAAGAAUGGUAUUCACGCAGUUCCCAUUUUACAGAUGAAAACAAGAGGACUUUUUCUGUGAAGUCAAGAAAGUGGUUACAAUGGUACUUUCAGCCUGUCCGAAUUAUGUAUUGCCCCUCCCCUUUUUAUUAAUAACAUUGAAGUGUGAUGGGACAACCACUGAAGCCGUCAGUUGAAACCUGCUGGGACUUUUUAGCCAUUCUCUUCAACAUAAAGAAUGGGUGUUUUUGGAGGGGGUGAGAGGAAUGGGGAAAUGUUGUCAAAGAGUACAACGUUUUAGUUGAGACAGGAAGAAUAUAUUUUGUUGAGAUCUACAGCACAGCAUGGUGACUGUAGUUAACAAUGAAGUAUUGUCUAUUUCCAAAUUGCUAAGACAAUAAAUUUCAAAUGUUCUCACCACAAAAAA